UAGGGAAUCUUCCGCAAUGGGCGAAAGCCUGACGGAGCAACGCCGCGUGAGUGAUGAAGGUCCUCGGAUCGUAAAACUCUGUUAUUAGGGAAGAACAAAUGUGUAAGCAACUAUGCACGUCUUGACGGUACCUAAUCAGAAAGCCACGGCUAACUACGUGCCAGCAGCCGCGGUAAUACGUAGGUGGCAAGCGUUAUCCGGAAUUAUUGGGCGUAAAGCGCGCGUAGGCGGUUUUUUAAGUCUGAUGUGAAAGCCCACGGCUCAACCGUGGAGGGUCAUUAAAAACUGGAAAACUUGAGUGCAGAAGAGGAAAGUGGAAUUCCAUGUGUAGCGGUGAAGUGCGCAGAGAUGUGGAGGAACAGCAGUGGCGAAGGCGACUUUCUGGUCUGUAACUGACGCUGAUGUGCGAAAGCGUGGGGAUCAAACAGG
RNAcentral lists this ribosomal RNA (429 nucleotides) under Actinomycetes bacterium. Its description in RNAcentral is "Actinobacteria bacterium partial 16S ribosomal RNA". It matches the Rfam family "Bacterial small subunit ribosomal RNA", at positions 355 to 776 of the family's 1533-position model. The record is from RNAcentral. Lineage: Bacteria; Bacillati; Actinomycetota; Actinomycetes.